AACUACUAGGGGAGCCUUUAUUGGCUGAGAUGACGAAAUUAGUCAGACCCUUAUAACCUGAUUUGGUUAGAACCAACGUAGGAAAGUAGCAA
RNAcentral lists this non-coding RNA (92 nucleotides) under Staphylococcus lugdunensis. RNAcentral's name for it is "TPP riboswitch (THI element)". It matches the Rfam family "TPP riboswitch aptamer (THI element)", at positions 6 to 96 of the family's 105-position model. From Rfam's summary of the family: Vitamin B(1) in its active form thiamin pyrophosphate (TPP) is an essential coenzyme that is synthesised by coupling of pyrimidine and thiazole moieties in bacteria. The record is from RNAcentral. Lineage: Bacteria; Bacillati; Bacillota; Bacilli; Caryophanales; Staphylococcaceae.